CUGGGCUGCCUGCUCGCGCGCGCGGGAGGAAGGCGGGCCGAGGCGGCUGGGCCGGCUCAGCCAAGUGAGCAGGUAGGGUUUUCUUCUCCCCUUUUUUUUUUUCUGUUUUUGCGAAUAGUUUUUGGAUUCAAAUUUCAAACACCUUUUUGAAUAGCUGAGAAGUAGGAGAUCAAAUAUGUUACUAGUAUUUGUAAAAUAUUCAAAUGAGUUAAAGGUUUGAAACAUACCCAUUUGACUCUCAUUUGAAAAAUAGAGGGAAAAGAAUUCAAACUCGAAGGAGGAUGAUUCAUAUUUGAAUCUUCUAGCCAAAUUACACAACAAGCAUUUAAACCACAAGUUGAGAUGCAAAUUUAAAACUCAUGUGACACAAAUAAGUAGACAUGGC
Molecule: long non-coding RNA, 385 nt
Filed under: Brachypodium distachyon (stiff brome)
Lineage: Eukaryota; Viridiplantae; Streptophyta; Magnoliopsida; Poales; Poaceae
Description: long non-coding RNA (BDIS_LNC002276)
Source: RNAcentral